GGGUUAAGUCCCGCAACGAGCGCAACCCCUGUGGUUAGUUGCCAGCAAGUAGCGUUGGGCACUCUAGCCAGACUGCCGGUGAUAAAUCGGAGGAAGGUGGGGACGACGUCAAAUCAUCAUGCCCUUUAUGUCCUGGGCUACACACGUACUACAAUGGCCGUUACAACGGGAAGCGAAGGAGCAAUCCGGAGCAAAUCCCUUAAAGGCGGUCCCAGUUCAGAUUGUGGGCUGAAACUCGCCCACAUGAAGGCGGAAUUGCUAGUAAUUGCAGAUCAGCAUGCUGCAGUGAAUACGUUCCCGGGCCUU
RNAcentral lists this ribosomal RNA (306 nucleotides) under uncultured Oscillospiraceae bacterium. Its description in RNAcentral is "bacterial SSU rRNA". It matches the Rfam family "Bacterial small subunit ribosomal RNA", at positions 1077 to 1382 of the family's 1533-position model. Lineage: Bacteria; Bacillati; Bacillota; Clostridia; Eubacteriales; Oscillospiraceae. The record is from RNAcentral.